GAUGAAGAACGUAGCGAAAUGCGAUAAGUAAUGUGAAUUGCAGAAUUCAGUGAAUCAUCGAAUCUUUGAACGCACAUUGCGCCCGCCAGUAUUCUGGCGGGCAUGCCUGUUCGAGCGUCAUUUCAACCAUCAAGCCCCGGGCUUGUGUUGGGGACCUGCGGCUGCCGCAGGCCCUGAAAUGCAGUGGCGGGCUCGCUGUCACUCCGAGCGUAGUAGUUACAUCUCGCUCUGGGCGUGCUGCGGGUUCCGGCCGUUAAAAAGCCUUAUUUACCCAAGGUUGACCUCGGAUCAGGUAGGAAGACCCGCUGAACUUAAGCAUAUCAAUAAGCGGAGGA
RNAcentral lists this unclassified non-coding RNA (335 nucleotides) under soil metagenome. RNAcentral describes it as "partial contains 5.8S ribosomal RNA, internal transcribed spacer 2, and large subunit ribosomal RNA". The stretch from base 1 to 120 matches the Rfam family "5.8S ribosomal RNA", at positions 35 to 154 of the family's 154-position model. The record is from RNAcentral.